UUAUGCUGAUAAGAGCGUAUGGUGGAUGCCUUGGCACUAAGAGCCGAUGAAAGACGUGAUAAGCUGCGAAAAGCUUCGGGGGGGAGGAGCAAAUAUCCUUUGAUCCGGAGAUUUCUGAAUGGGGGAAACCUACUUGAGCAAACCUCAAGUAUCCUUAAGCCAAUACAUAACUUAAGGAAGGGAACCCGGUGAACUGAAACAUCUAAGUAGCCGGAGGAAGAGAAAACAACAUGUGAUUCUGUGAGUAGCGGCGAGCGAAAACGGAAGAGCCCAAACCAGCGUGCGUGCAUGCUGGGGUUCGGACCGCGGAAUUGAUUCAACGAGUUUAGCAGAACGGUUUUGGGAAAGCCGGCCAGAGAGGGUGAAAGCCCCCCCGUAAGCGAAAGACGAGUUGACAUGGCGGGAUCCAGAGUACCACGAGACACGUGGAACCUUGUGGGAAGAUGCGGGGGGGACCACCCCGUAAGGCUAAAUACUACUUAGUGACCGAUAGCGCAUAGUACUGUGAAGGAAAGGUGAAAAGGACCCGGGAGGGGGGGAGUGAAAAAGAACCUGAAACCAUAUGUUUACAAGCUGUGGAAGAGCUUUAUAUGCUCAACCGCGUACUUUUUGUAGAACGGUCCGGCGAGUUACGCUGGCUGGCGAGGUUAAGGACUAAAGGUCCGGAGCCGAAGGGAAACCAAGUCUGAAUAGGGCGCAUAGUCAGUCGGAGUAGACCCGAAACCGGGUGAUCUAUCCAUGUCCAGGUUGAAGUUGCCGUAAAAGGCAAUGGAGGACCGAACCCACAUCCGUUGAAAAGGGUGGGGAUGAGGUGUGGAUAGGGGAGAAAUUCCAAUCGAACCCGGAGAUAGCUGGUUCUCCUCGAAAUAGCUUUAGGGCUAGCCUCAUACGAGUCUUGCGGAGGUAGAGCACUGAAUUCCUAAGGGGGGCGUCAAAGCUUACUAAGGGAUAUCAAACUCCGAAUGCCGUGUAGAUGAUGUAUGGGAGUCAGACGAUCCGAGAUAAGUUGGGUGGUCAAAAGGGAAAGAGCCCAGACCAACAGCUAAGGCCCCCCCAAAAUGUGUGUUAAGUGGAAAAGGAUGUGGGAUUUCGAAGACAACUAGGAUGUUGGCUCAGAAGCAGCCAUUCAUUCAAAGAGUGCGUAAUAGCUCACUAGUCGAGAGGUCCUGCGCCGAAAAUGUCCGGGGGGCUAAAACACACUGCCGAAGCUUUGGAAUUGAGAAUUCAAUUGGUAGAGGAGCAUUCUUAAAGGGACGAAGCAGUACCGAAAGGAGCUGUGGACUUUUAAGAAGAGAGAAUGCCGGAAUGAGUAGCGAGAGGAAGGUGGGAAUCCUUCCGGCCGAAUAUCUAAGGUUUCCAGAGUAAAGCUGAUCUGCUCUGGGUAAGUCGGGGCCUAAGGCGAGGUCGAAAGACGUAGUCGAUGGAUAACAGGUUGAAAUUCCUGUACUAUCCUGUAACAGAACUGUGGGGACACAGGCAGAGAGCGUGAGCCGGGAAUGGAAAGACCGGUACAAGCGAGGUAGGAGAAGAGUUGGCAAAUCCGCUCUUUAAUCUGAAGACGUGAUGUGGACUGAAAAUAAGUAGGGAAGCACGUGAGCUGACUGUCAAGAAAAGCCGCUAUUGUUUGCAGGAUACCCGUACCGUAAACCGACACAGGUGGAUGAGGAGAGAAUCCUAAGGCCGACGGGAGAAGCAUUGUUAAGGAACUCGGCAAAAUGACUCCGUAACUUCGGGAGAAGGAGUGCCAGUAAGAUGGCCGCAGAGAAUUGGCCCAAGCAACUGUUUAGCAAAAACACAGGUCUAUGCAAAACCGAAAGGUGAGGUAUAUGGGCUGACGCCUGCCCGGUGCUGGAAGGUUAAGGGGGGGAGAGGUUAGCGCAAGCGAAGCUUUGAACUUAAGCCCCCCCAGUAAACGGCGGCCGUAACUAUAACGGUCCUAAGGUAGCGAAAUUCCUUGUCGGGUAAGUUCCGACCCGCACGAAAGGCGUAAUGAUUUGGCACUGUCUCAACAAUGCACCCGGUGAAAUUGAAAUACCAGUGAAGAUGCUGGUUACCUGCGCCAGGACGGAAAGACCCCCAUGGAGCUUUACUCCAGCUUGAUACUGGGAUUCGGUAUUGCAUGUACAGGAUAGGUGGGAGGCUAGGAAAUGGUAACGCCAGUUGCCAUGGAGCCAAUGUUGGGAUACCACCCUUGCAGUACUGGGUUUCUAACCAGCAGCCGUGAUCCGGCUGGGGGGACAAUGUCAGGUGGGGGGGAGUUUGACUGGGGGGGCGGUCGCCUCCGAAAGGGUAUCGGAGGCGCUCAAAGGUUCCCUCAGAAUGGUUGGAAACCAUUCGAAGAGUGCAAAGGCAGAAGGGAGCUUGACUGCGACACCGACGGGUGGAGCAGGUACGAAAGUAGGACUUAGUGAUCCGGUGGUAUAAAGUGGGAUUGCCAUCGCUCAACGGAUAAAAGCUACCCUGGGGAUAACAGGCUUAUCACUCCCAAGAGUUCACAUCGACGGAGUGGUUUGGCACCUCGAUGUCGGCUCAUCGCAUCCUGGGGCUGAAGUAGGUCCCAAGGGUUGGGCUGUUCGCCCAUUAAAGCGGUACGCGAGCUGGGUUCAGAACGUCGUGAGACAGUUCGGUCCCUAUCCGGCGUGGGCGUAAGAUAUUUGAGAGGAGCUGUCCUUAGUACGAGAGGACCGGGAUGGACUGGCCGCUGGUGUAUCUGUUGUCUUACCAAAGGCAUAGCAGAGUAGCCAAGCCGGGAAGGGAUAAACGCUGAAGGCAUCUAAGCGUGAAGCCCCCCCUCAAGAUGAGAUAUCUCAUAACGUCAAGUUAGUAAGACCCCCCCUUGAAGACGACGAGGUAGAUAGGGCAGAGGUGGAAGUGUGGUAACACAUGGAGCUGACUGUUACUAAUAGGUCGAGGGCAUAACCAA
RNAcentral lists this ribosomal RNA (2923 nucleotides) under Mediterraneibacter faecis JCM 15917. RNAcentral's name for it is "bacterial LSU rRNA". It matches the Rfam family "Bacterial large subunit ribosomal RNA". Lineage: Bacteria; Bacillati; Bacillota; Clostridia; Lachnospirales; Lachnospiraceae. The record is from RNAcentral.